GAUCUGUAGGUCCGUAAAGGACUCGGAGAAUCAAGGAGUGGGUCGCCCUGCAGAGAGAAAGGAUUGGGGGAAGGAAAGGGGAACGGCGGUUUGGGAAAGAGAGAGGGGGUCGAGAGAGAAGGGGCCAGAGACAAAAUGGGAGCGAGCUCCCCCUUCCCCUCGUCCAACUUUGGCCCCAUCUCGUCGUCCCUUUUGUCGCCUCCGGUAUCGCCUCCGACAUUGACCCUGCGCAGAGCGAGGCCAUAAAGCCCCCGGCCCAUGGGGACAGCAUUCAGAGUGACCACGAGGCGGCCCCGGGGCUGGGGAGACAGACGGAGCUCCCUCCCUCCCUGGCCAACCCACCCCACCUCCCACUCCGGUCUGGGGGUCCCGAGAGGAGCCAGCCCCUGGCCGGGAGCGGGGGGGUGGGUGGGUAGCCUCGGUCCUAGUCGGGCUGGGCCUGAUCGGAGGCCUUUCCAGAAGCCGGGCGCCUGGUUUUCGUGCGGAGGGAGACGCCGAGGCAGAGGAUUCGAGAACGGAAACGACAGCGGGGAGUUGGCCAAAGGCGACCGGAGAAAGCAGAGCGGUCCUUUGCAGGCCCAGAUCCUGGAGCUGGGGAAGGAAUUCCUCUUAAGCACGUUCCUGACUCGCGAGCGCCGCCUAGAGAUCAGCCUCAGCGUGAACCUGACCGUCAGACAAAGUGAAAAUCUGGUUCCAGACCCGGAGAAUGAAGUUUAUUAAA
This is a long non-coding RNA of Tachyglossus aculeatus (Australian echidna), 721 nucleotides long. RefSeq lists it as uncharacterized. NCBI's taxonomy places the organism in Eukaryota, Metazoa, Chordata, Mammalia, Monotremata, Tachyglossidae. The transcript is spliced from 3 exons. The record is from RefSeq and is a predicted model, not a curated record.